RNAcentral lists this ribosomal RNA (589 nucleotides) under Candida tropicalis. Its description in RNAcentral is "eukaryotic LSU rRNA". It matches the Rfam family "Eukaryotic large subunit ribosomal RNA", at positions 51 to 656 of the family's 3401-position model. The record is from RNAcentral. Lineage: Eukaryota; Fungi; Ascomycota; Pichiomycetes; Serinales; Debaryomycetaceae.
CGGAGGAAAAGAAACCAACAGGGAUUGCCUUAGUAGCGGCGAGUGAAGCGGCAAAAGCUCAAAUUUGAAAUCUGGCUCUUUCAGAGUCCGAGUUGUAAUUUGAAGAAGGUAUCUUUGGGUCUGGCUCUUGUCUAUGUUUCUUGGAACAGAACGUCACAGAGGGUGAGAAUCCCGUGCGAUGAGAUGAUCCAGGCCUAUGUAAAGUUCCUUCGAAGAGUCGAGUUGUUUGGGAAUGCAGCUCUAAGUGGGUGGUAAAUUCCAUCUAAAGCUAAAUAUUGGCGAGAGACCGAUAGCGAACAAGUACAGUGAUGGAAAGAUGAAAAGAACUUUGAAAAGAGAGUGAAAAAGUACGUGAAAUUGUUGAAAGGGAAGGGCUUGAGAUCAGACUUGGUAUUUUGUAUGUUACUUCUUCGGGGGUGGCCUCUACAGUUUAUCGGGCCAGCAUCAGUUUGGGCGGUAGGAGAAUUGCGUUGGAAUGUGGCACGGCUUCGGUUGUGUGUUAUAGCCUUCGUCGAUACUGCCAGCCUAGACUGAGGACUGCGGUUUAUACCUAGGAUGUUGGCAUAAUGAUCUUAAGUCGCCCGUCUUG